GGUGAACGCUGGCGGUAGGCCUAAUACAUGCAAGUCGAACGGCCGCACAAUAAGCGCUUGCUCUUACGGGUGGCGGGUGGCGGACGGGUGAGGCAUACAUCGGCAUCUUCUAUUUCGUGGAGGACAACGUAGGGACGCUUCCGCUACUACCUCAUACGAUCUACGGCUUAAUGCAGGGGUUCUUCAGAGUUUGCCUGUUACUUUGAGCCGGUGUCGGAUUAGCUAGUUGGCGAGGUAAAGGCCCACCAAGGCGACGAUCCGUAGCUGGUCUGAGAGGAUGAUCAGCCACACUGGAACUGAGACACGGUCCAGACUCCUACGGGAGGCAGCAGUAGGGAAUAUUGGACAAUGGGCGAAAGCCUGAUCCAGCCAUACCGCGUGAGUGAAGAAGGUCUUCGGAUUGUAAAGCCCUGUUAUUGGGAAAGAAAAGCAGCAGGAGAAUACCCCGCUGUUCUGACGGUACCUAAAGAGAAAGCACCGGCUAACUUCGUG
RNAcentral lists this ribosomal RNA (492 nucleotides) under uncultured bacterium. RNAcentral's name for it is "partial 16S ribosomal RNA". It matches the Rfam family "Bacterial small subunit ribosomal RNA", at positions 28 to 507 of the family's 1533-position model. The record is from RNAcentral.